RNAcentral lists this long non-coding RNA (609 nucleotides) under Medicago truncatula (barrel medic). RNAcentral describes it as "long non-coding RNA (MTRU_LNC008479)". The record is from RNAcentral. Lineage: Eukaryota; Viridiplantae; Streptophyta; Magnoliopsida; Fabales; Fabaceae.
GCAAUCAUAAAACUGACUUUUUUAAAAAAGUUAUUUUGUUUUUCAUAAAACUUCAAUCACAUUCAUAUCAUUUUAACCCGAUACAAUAAAAAGAUAUUCAAAUCGAUCUUACCCUAUGUGGUGUGAGUAAUUCCGUUCCGAAUUAGCUACGAAGAUGGAGCAGAUGAUUAAAGGGUUCGAGAAUGUCAAAAACGAGCAAAUGGUUACUAAAUGGAUGUGAAGAUCGAUUCGAUUAAGCAAGACGGUUUUAGGGUUCGAGAAUGUGAAUUUUGGAGAAGAAGAAUUUGGAGAGAAACAAUUUUAGGGUUCAAGAAUGUGAGUUUUGGAGAAGAUGAAUUUUGAUUAAGCAAGACAGUAUGGUUGGUGUUGGAGCAGAUGAAUUUCGGAGAGAAAGGGAUGAACAAAAUCGAUAUGGAAAAAAAGAUGAAAGAUAUAACGACACACCUUAAGAACAAAUAUGUAGUACACCAUAUAAUCUGACGUUGCAUUGAUUAAAUACACAAAAGCUAAAUGAUUGGUCAUAGGAUUAACUUUACCAGAAAAGUCAUUCUUAUGACUUCACCAUAAAAUUUUCCAUUUUUUUGAAAAUAUUGCAAAAAAUUAUAAGAC